AAAAUAAAAUUGAUUAUGAGUCACUAAUUUCUUUGUAAUCAAAAGAAAAUCUGGGUGUUUUUAAAAAAACACCCAGAUAUUUUCUUAAUUCUUACUAAUAUCUGCCUUGGUUAGAAAGCCUGAUCAGGUUGACUAUCAUAGCCAUGAAGCCUUUCCAUUCAUCUUUGUGUUGGCUGCUCCGUACUUAGGACAGCCAAAGUGAAUGGCUCUUCUUCUGGCGGUCUGAACUACUCGCAGUUUUGACAAAGGCCACUACAGCCCAUGUGCCUCAGAAUAAUCCUAGUCAUGUCACCAACCACCCUUCUGCCGAGACACCGCCUCCACCAGGCCUGGAAGUGACCUAGUACAAAAAUGACUUUUGGCGGAGACUGGGAGAUGAAAGGGUGUCAGCACACUGACUGUGGCCCAGCAACACUGCACCUGAUGCCUGUGACAAUCCACUCGCUUUAAAGACAAAGCAGAGAGAAGACUGGCAAAGCAGCAGAUCUGUAAUAAUAACCCCCAAAAGGGGUAGAACAGAACAGAGUGAACAACUAUAAAUUUUAGGUAAGUCCUUUUUUCCACAUUUAAAUCUGAAGGCAACUGAAUUCUGGUAUUUUCCCAAGCUACUGUAUGAAGAGGAUGCUGAAUCCAUUGUAAUACAGCAUAGUGCAAUGUAAAGACUCAUGUUUGCCAAUUCUGACACACUCCCAAAAUAUACCCCCAAAUGCAAUUUUAUUUCUGUCCUGGAGGCUGGGUGCCAAGGAUCAGACAGAAACACAGGUACAUAUAAGCUGCAAGGUUAUGGUCAACAGACUCUGAAAACUGGAAAACUGCAGACACAGUGAGGCCGGCAGAGUCCCAGCCAUAGCACCUUUUGGACUUGGGGUGGAAGCAGGUGGGUUUUAGCAGCAGGGAUACUGAAAAUCGGACUCCAGGAGUGGCCUUCUGAACUUACGGAACAGACUGAACAUUCACAGUAAAAAUGUACCUGAAACUGACAGAUACUCAGAGGAAGAAAAAGUUUCUAACUACUUCUAAUCUUACAUUUUGAAUCUCCAGUCACUCUCUGAAGAGAGGCUUAGAGUUGCAGUAUCACUAUGAAGAGGCACAGUCUCUACAUCACUCACCUGCACACAAGCCAUCAAAGCUGUUCCUUCCCAGAUUCCAUCAACCCUGCCACUUCCUGCCAAGUCUGAACUGAGGCUUAGAGCCAAAACUCACUUUUAGUAUUACCUCAGGUACAUAGUUUGUGGGAGAACACUCAAGAAAUCAUCCAUCUCUUAGAAAUCACUGCUUCGAGUUGCUUCGAGUUGCUUCGAGUAGAGGUAUCCUGGUUAAUGCACAGCAUGGUGUGACCAGAGGAAAAGCAAGCAUUGUAUGAAUGCAGUGCUAACCAACACAAAUUGAACCUUUUCUUGUUCAAAGAACUUGUUUUCCAAGUACUUUUUGGUGUGUGAACUGAAAUAUCCAGUUUUAUUCAAACAUUGUAAUGGUGAAUGUUUUAUAAAGUACUUGUUCUAAUACUAACAUGUACUAUAAAUUCUUAAUUGAGUUAUAUCUUGAUGUGGUCAAAAUGUAUAUUAACUGUAUUUAUACAAAUGACACAGAGCUAAGCACAAUAAAUUGAUUAAACA
Capra hircus (goat) is the source of this 1616-nucleotide long non-coding RNA. RefSeq lists it as uncharacterized. The record is from RefSeq and is a predicted model, not a curated record. Lineage: Eukaryota; Metazoa; Chordata; Mammalia; Artiodactyla; Bovidae. The transcript is spliced from 2 exons.